This 1372-nucleotide ribosomal RNA is filed under the name uncultured bacterium. RNAcentral describes it as "bacterial SSU rRNA". It matches the Rfam family "Bacterial small subunit ribosomal RNA", at positions 28 to 1381 of the family's 1533-position model. The record is from RNAcentral.
GAUGAACGCUGGCGGCGUGCCUAAUACAUGCAAGUCGAGCGAACGGACGAGAAGCUUGCUUCUCUGAUGUUAGCGGCGGACGGGUGAGUAACACGUGGAUAACCUACCUAUAAGACUGGGAUAACUUCGGGAAACCGGAGCUAAUACCGGAUAAUAUUUUGAACCGCAUGGUUCAAAAGUAAAAGACGGUCUUGCUGUCACUUAUAGAUGGAUCCGCGCUGCAUUAGCUAGUUGGUAAGGUAACGGCUUACCAAGGCAACGAUGCAUAGCCGACCUGAGAGGGUGAUCGGCCACACUGGAACUGAGACACAGUCCAGACUCCUACGGGAGGCAGCAGUAGGGAAUCUUCCGCAAUGGGCGAAAGCCUGGCGGAGCAACGCCGCGUGAGUGAUGAAGGUCUUCGGAUCGUAAAACUCUGUUAUUAGGGAAGAACAUAUGUGUAAGUAACUGUGCACAUCUUGACGGUACCUAAUCAGAAAGCCACGGCUAACUACGUGCCAGCAGCCGCGGUAAUACGUAGGUGGCAAGCGUUAUCCGGAAUUAUUGGGCGUAAAGCGCGCGUAGGCGGUUUUUUAAGUCUGAUGUGAAAGCCCACGGCUCAACCGUGGAGGGUCAUUGGAAACUGGAAAACUUGAGUGCAGAAGAGGAAAGUGGAAUUCCAUGUGUAGCGGUGAAAUGCGCAGAGAUAUGGAGGAACACCAGUGGCGAAGGCGACUUUCUGGUCUGUAACUGACGCUGAUGUGCGAAAGCGUGGGGAUCAAACAGGAUUAGAUACCCUGGUAGUCCACGCCGUAAACGAUGAGUGCUAAGUGUUAGGGGGUUUCCGCCCCUUAGUGCUGCAGCUAACGCAUUAAGCACUCCGCCUGGGGAGUACGACCGCAAGGUUGAAACUCAAAGGAAUUGACGGGGACCCGCACAAGCGGUGGAGCAUGUGGUUUAAUUCGAAGCAACGCGAAGAACCUUACCAAAUCUUGACAUCCUUUGACAACUCUAGAGAUAGAGCCUUCCCCUUCGGGGGACAAAGUGACAGGUGGUGCAUGGUUGUCGUCAGCUCGUGUCGUGAGAUGUUGGGUUAAGUCCCGCAACGAGCGCAACCCUUAAGCUUAGUUGCCAUCAUUAAGUUGGGCACUCUAAGUUGACUGCCGGUGACAAACCGGAGGAAGGUGGGGAUGACGUCAAAUCAUCAUGCCCCUUAUGAUUUGGGCUACACACGUGCUACAAUGGACAAUACAAAGGGCAGCGAAACCGCGAGGUCAAGCAAAUCCCAUAAAGUUGUUCUCAGUUCGGAUUGUAGUCUGCAACUCGACUACAUGAAGCUGGAAUCGCUAGUAAUCGUAGAUCAGCAUGCUACGGUGAAUACGUUCCCGGGUCU